RNAcentral lists this ribosomal RNA (328 nucleotides) under uncultured eukaryote. Its description in RNAcentral is "partial 18S ribosomal RNA". It matches the Rfam family "Eukaryotic small subunit ribosomal RNA", at positions 1470 to 1796 of the family's 1831-position model. The record is from RNAcentral.
CCCUUAGAUGUCCGGGGCUGCACGCGCGCUACACUGAAGGAAUCAGCGUGCUAAAACCAUUGUCGAAAGGCAUUGGUAAACCCAUUAAAAUCCUACGUGAUUGGGAUCGGGAAUUGCAAUUAUUUCCCUUGAACGAGGAAUUCCCAGUAAGUGUGGGUCAUAAGCUCGCGUUGAUUACGUCCCUGCCCUUUGUACACACCGCCCGUCGCUGCCCGGGACUGAGCCGUUUCGAGAAAAGCGGGGCCUGCUGCUGUCGGGGCUUUCGGGCCUUGGCUUCGGUGGAAACCGCUUUAAUCGCAGUGGCUUGAACCGGGCAAAANUCGUANCA